AUUCAUGAUGCUGCUGGUAAAGCAUAGAUGGUUUGGAUCCCUUUUUUUGUGUGUAUGUGGCAGGCAGAGGGCCACUUGAUUGAGAUCACCUGGCACACCAGCUGCUUCAUUAGCAGAGGGCUGAUAAAAGCCUCUGUCAGUAGAGCUUCAGACAGAGACCUGCUGCUUCCAGGUGGGAAGGUGCAGCAGCUGUGCAGCCUUUGGCUGUGUGUAGGGCCCUAACCAUAGCCGGAUCGCAGGCAGUGUUUGGCCGCUCAUGCGACUCAUGUGGAGAGUCCUCUUAAGCUGCGGGAGCAGAGCGGUGCGACGGCCGGCAGUUCUGGGGAUCGUGUGUGUUCCAUACAGAGUGUCAGUGACUGCUGUCCAUCCACGCACUGGCGAGCAGCGUGACGGAGUGGGAUUGACAGCUAUUGGAGCGAGUUCCCCCUUCUGGGCUUCUGUCCCCCCAAGCACAACCAGGGCCCAGUGUCCCACCACCUUGGACUGGCGUCGGUUACGGCCACUGGAUGCAAGGGACGUGACAUUGAGCCGGGUGCGCCGCCACAGAGAGCGCACAGCUGGGUGCAGCUGACUUUGUGGGCUGGGCAUGAUCGCCCUUAUGGUUUGGUUGACUGUUUUGGGUAUCUUUUUAGAAUAGGAAAUUUAGCAUAAUUUCUAAUAAAGGUUGUCUUUUCUUUAAAAGCA
Oryzias latipes (Japanese medaka) is the source of this 684-nucleotide non-coding RNA. The record is from RefSeq and is a predicted model, not a curated record. Lineage: Eukaryota; Metazoa; Chordata; Actinopteri; Beloniformes; Adrianichthyidae.